GACGAGCGCUGGCGGCGGGCUUAACACAUGCAAGUCGAACGGAAAGGCCCUGCUUUUGUGGGGUGCUCGAGUGGCGAACGGGUGUGUAACACGUGAGUAACCUGCCCUUGACUUUGGGAUAACUUCAGGAAACUGGGGCUAAUACAGGAUAGGAGCUCCUGCUGCAUGGUGGGGGUUGGAAAGUUUCGGCGGUUGGGGAUGGACUCGCGGCUUAUCAGCUUGUUGGUGGGGUAGUGGCUUACCAAGGCAUUGAAGGGUAGCCGGCCUGGGAGGGUGAACGGCCACAAUGGGACUGAGGGACGGCGCAGACGCCUACGUUAGGCAGCAGGGGGGAAUAUUGCACAAUGAGCGGAAGCCUGAUGCAGCAACGCCGCGUGCGUGAUGACGGCCUUCUGGGUGUAAACCGCUUUCGCCUAUGACGAAGCGUGAGUGACGGUAAUGAAUGAAUAAGCACCGGCUAACUACGUG
This 468-nucleotide ribosomal RNA is filed under the name uncultured bacterium. Its description in RNAcentral is "partial 16S ribosomal RNA". It matches the Rfam family "Bacterial small subunit ribosomal RNA", at positions 28 to 507 of the family's 1533-position model. The record is from RNAcentral.